This 445-nucleotide ribosomal RNA is filed under the name uncultured bacterium. Its description in RNAcentral is "partial 16S ribosomal RNA". It matches the Rfam family "Bacterial small subunit ribosomal RNA", at positions 354 to 796 of the family's 1533-position model. The record is from RNAcentral.
GUAGGGAAUAUUGGGCAAUGGAGGCAACUCUGACCCAGCCAUGCCGCGUGCAGGAUGACGGCCCUCUGGGUUGUAAACUGCUUUUAUACGGGAAGAAAAAAUACUACGUGUAGUAUACUGACGGUACCGUAAGAAUAAGGAUCGGCUAACUCCGUGCCAGCAGCCGCGGUAAUACGGAGGAUCCAAGCGUUGUCCGGAUUUAUUGGGUUUAAAGGGUGCGUAGGCGGAUCUUUAAGUCAGUGGUGAAAGCCUGUAGCUUAACUGUAGAAUUGCCAUUGAAACUGAAGAUCUUGAAUGUGGUUAAAGUAGGCGGAAUGUAUCAUGUAGCGGUGAAAUGCUUAGAUAUGAGACAGAACACCGAUAGCGAAGGCAGCUUGCUGAACCAUUAUUGACGCUGAGGCACGAAAGCGUGGGGAGCGAACAGGAUUAGAAACCCUUGUAGUCC